Molecule: small RNA, 258 nt
Filed under: Saimiri boliviensis boliviensis (Bolivian squirrel monkey)
Lineage: Eukaryota; Metazoa; Chordata; Mammalia; Primates; Cebidae
Description: Metazoan signal recognition particle RNA (ENSSBOG00000001668.1)
Source: RNAcentral
GCUGGGUGUGGUAGCUCACGCCUGUAAUCCCAGCACUUUGGGAGGCCGAGGUGGGUGGAUCACUUGAGGUCGGGAGUUCGAGACCAGCCUGGCCAACAUGGUGAAACCCUGUCUCUACUAAAAUACAAAAAUUAGCUGGGUGUAGCUGGGUGCAGUGGCUCACGCCUGUAAUCCCAGCACUUUGGGAGGCUGAGGUGGAUGGAUCACGAGGUCAGGAGUUCGAGACCAGCCUGACCAACAUGGUGAAACCCCAUCUCU